AAGAGUUGUUUGCUUCAGAAAUGCACUUUGCCUGAUAAACUCCCAGAACAAUAACUGUGUCCCUCUCUAGGUGUGCACUUGUUUGUGCCAUGAAGAAUUGGGCACAGAGUGCUGCUGACACACAGCUUUCAAAGCAAAGGAAAAUCAUUAUUCAUCAUGGAUCUAGUCAAACAUCUCACGACCACAUCCAUAGCACGUACUUUGACCAAAAAGUCUCUAUAAAAAAGCUAUAG
This 233-nucleotide long non-coding RNA is filed under the name Chrysolophus pictus (golden pheasant). RNAcentral's name for it is "lncRNA (ENSCPIG00010007849.1)". The record is from RNAcentral. Lineage: Eukaryota; Metazoa; Chordata; Aves; Galliformes; Phasianidae.